ACACCUAAAGAUCCAGAGAAGAGAGAGUAGAGAGAGAAAAAAAGGGAGAGAAAGAUUUUCAACCCUUCUAGGCUUCCAAAAAGUCUUGAUCCUUUGAUUCAGUGCGAAAGGAUUCAUGCAGCCUUUUGUCUUCUUCUAGAUUUAGAAAAAGAGAUCUAGAUCCAAGCCAAGUAGCGAGGCUUGCAAGGUGCUAGCACUUAGAUGGCUUCGGUGAUUUGAUCAAACUAUCUCCAUGUGAUACCA
RNAcentral lists this long non-coding RNA (243 nucleotides) under Elaeis guineensis (African oil palm). Its description in RNAcentral is "long non-coding RNA (EGUI_LNC079641)". The record is from RNAcentral. Lineage: Eukaryota; Viridiplantae; Streptophyta; Magnoliopsida; Arecales; Arecaceae.